UGGGGAAUAUUGGACAAUGGGCGCAAGCCUGAUCCAGCCAUGCCGCGUGAGUGAAGAAGGCCCUAGGGUUGUAAAGCACUUUCACCGGUGAAGAUAAUGACGGUAACCGGAGAAGAAGCCCCGGCUAACUUCGUGCCAGCAGCCGCGGUAAUACGAAGGGGGCUAGCGUUGUUCGGAUUUACUGGGCGUAAAGCGCACGUAGGCGGACUUUUAAGUCAGGGGUGAAAUCCCGGGGCUCAACCCCGGAACUGCCUUUGAUACUGGAAGUCUUGAGUAUGGUAGAGGUGAGUGGAAUUCCGGGUGUAGAGGUGAAAUUCGUAGAUAUUCGGAGGAACACCAGUGGCGAAGGCGGCUCACUGGACCAUUACUGACGCUGAGGUUCGAAAGCGUGGGGAGCAAACAGG
RNAcentral lists this ribosomal RNA (404 nucleotides) under Actinomycetes bacterium. RNAcentral's name for it is "Actinobacteria bacterium partial 16S ribosomal RNA". It matches the Rfam family "Bacterial small subunit ribosomal RNA", at positions 355 to 776 of the family's 1533-position model. Lineage: Bacteria; Bacillati; Actinomycetota; Actinomycetes. The record is from RNAcentral.